CAAAGAAUACUAAUGUGAUCUGAUGCCCAAAUUCACAAGCUUAAGUCGACUGAUUUCAUGAUUGACUCAUCCUGAUCGGUUUCACGCGGAUAAUCACAAGCUGCUCAUCCUGAUGAUCAGAAGCUUAAGUCGAUCGAUUUCAUGACUGACGUCAAGCUCAAAAUGCCCAAACAUGAGUCAAUCCCCAAUCCUGUUUUGCGAUGGUGAGUAGUAUUCGAGUCUUCCAUUUUUGGCGAAAAAGCAAUGGUUAAUUAUUCGUCGGUUUGAGGGGCGGAAAAAGGUAAAUAGGAGCAUUUCUUGGGUGGAAUCCAUGGAAGGAUGAGGCUAAUUUCUCUAAUAUUUUUUUGUUUUGAUCUUCUUCUAUAUGUAUUGAAAUCCGAAUUUGGUUUUUUUUAGUUUUGGUUUUGAUUUCUCUUGGGAUCCUUGUUAUGCUUUCUUUGUGUAAAGAAUACACAUCCUCAGGAGUUUCAUGAUGAGUUCGAGUGGCCACUUGAUGAAUUGAAGGUGUUUGAAGAGGUUUCGAACGGUACCGAAAUCAUCGACGGAUCAGGGAAACGACGUCAUCGGAGGAGCAAUUGCGAAGCUGUGGUUGAUCUCUUCUCUCUAUCCCUUCCCCCAAUUUCUGAAAAUCAAUGACUAUAUUCGACUUCUUCGAUUAUGUUUAAUUUAGGGUUUCAUUAAGAGAGAUUGGGGCUUUAAGAUCAAGUUGGGUUUUUUCUGGCUUUAGGGUUUAAUUUAGGGUUUCUUCGAAGCAGUGGUUGUUUCUGACUUUAAGAUCAAGUUGGGUUUUUUUCCCCACUACUUUUUUAAGUUUAUUCAUGAGUCUGAGACUAACGAGCUCAAUCAUGUGAUUCAUUUGAUUACAGCUUUAGAUCUGAAAGCUUGAAGGUUGAUGAUGAGUUUAAUUUUGGUUAAAUUUGGGUUAUAGUAAUGUGUUUAGGUAAUGUGAUAUAUGAACUAUUUUUGGUUUAAAUUUUAAAGGAUUAAUUAAUUUUUAAUUAGUACAAACAUAAUUUUUUUCAUGUAUAAUUUGGUAAAUUAUAAUUUUUGUAUUUUAAUUUUUAAUAUUAAUUAUUCUUAAAUUAAAUAAUUAAUUUAUAGUAGUGUUAGUAUAAUUGUUUACUUUGUUUUAAUUAAGAGUUAAGUUUCUCUUUUCAGCCUAGUCAGCAAAAUUAGAUGAGGUGUCAGCUCCGUUAGUCUAUCUGUCAUUUUUUUUA
RNAcentral lists this long non-coding RNA (1217 nucleotides) under Panax ginseng (ginseng). RNAcentral describes it as "long non-coding RNA (PGIN_LNC008023)". The record is from RNAcentral. Lineage: Eukaryota; Viridiplantae; Streptophyta; Magnoliopsida; Apiales; Araliaceae.